AAUAGAUACCCGGGUAGUCCACGCCGUAAACGAUGAGUGCUAAGUGUUAGAGGGUUUCCGCCCUUUAGUGCUGCAGCUAACGCAUUAAGCACUCCGCCUGGGGAGUACGGCCGCAAGGCUGAAACUCAAAGGAAUUGACGAGGGCCCGCACAAGCGGUGGAGCAUGUGGUUUAAUUCGAAGCAACGCGAAGAACCUUACCAGGUCUUGACAUCCUCUGCCAACCCUAGAGAUAGGGCGUUCCCCUUCGGGGGACAGAGUGACAGGUGGUGCAUGGUUGUCGUCAGCUCGUGUCGUGAGAUGUUGGGUUAAGUCCCGCAACGAGCGCAACCCUUGAUCUUAGUUGCCAGCAUUCAGUUGGGCACUCUAAGGUGACUGCCGGUGACAAACCGGAGGAAGGUGGGGAUGACGUCAAAUCAUCAUGCCCCUUAUGACCUGGGCUACACACGUGCUACAAUGGAUGGUACAAAGAGCUGCGAACCCGCGAGGGUAAGCCAAUCUCAUAAAGCCAUUCUCAGUUCGGAUUGUAGG
RNAcentral lists this ribosomal RNA (529 nucleotides) under uncultured bacterium. RNAcentral describes it as "bacterial SSU rRNA". It matches the Rfam family "Bacterial small subunit ribosomal RNA", at positions 777 to 1304 of the family's 1533-position model. The record is from RNAcentral.